GACGAACGCUGGCUGCGUGCUUAACACAUGCAAGUCGAACGCUGAAGCCAGAAGCUUGCUUCUGGUGGAUGAGUGGCGAACGGGUGAGUAACACGUGAGUAACCUGCCCCCGAUUUCGGGAUAAGCCCGGGAAACUGGGUCUAAUACCGGAUACGACCAAUCCUCGCAUGAGGGUUGGUGGAAAGUUUUUCGAUCGGGGAUGGGCUCGCGGCCUAUCAGCUUGUUGGUGGGGUAAUGGCCUACCAAGGCGACGACGGGUAGCCGGCCUGAGAGGGCGACCGGCCACACUGGGACUGAGACACGGCCCAGACUCCUACGGGAGGCAGCAGUGGGGAAUAUUGCACAAUGGGGAAACCCUGAUGCAGCGACGCAGCGUGCGGGAUGACGGCCUUCGGGUUGUAAACCGCUUUCAGCAGGGAAGAAGCGAAAGUGACGGUACCUGCAGAAGAAGUACCGGCUAACUACGUGCCAGCCGCCGCUGUAA
This 484-nucleotide ribosomal RNA is filed under the name uncultured bacterium. RNAcentral describes it as "partial 16S ribosomal RNA". It matches the Rfam family "Bacterial small subunit ribosomal RNA", at positions 28 to 523 of the family's 1533-position model. The record is from RNAcentral.